GGGGAGUACGGUCGCAAGAUUAAAACUCAAAGGAAUUGACGGGGACCCGCACAAGCGGUGGAUGAUGUGGAUUAAUUCGAUGCAACGCGAAAAACCUUACCUACCCUUGACAUGGCUGGAAUCCUUGAGAGAUCAGGGAGUGCUCGAAAGAGAACCAGUACACAGGUGCUGCAUGGCUGUCGUCAGCUCGUGUCGUGAGAUGUUGGGUUAAGUCCCGCAACGAGCGCAACCCUUGUCAUUAGUUGCUACGAAAGGGCACUCUAAUGAGACUGCCGGUG
RNAcentral lists this ribosomal RNA (278 nucleotides) under Salmonella enterica subsp. enterica serovar 1,4,[5],12:i:-. RNAcentral's name for it is "partial 16S ribosomal RNA". It matches the Rfam family "Bacterial small subunit ribosomal RNA", at positions 875 to 1157 of the family's 1533-position model. Lineage: Bacteria; Pseudomonadati; Pseudomonadota; Gammaproteobacteria; Enterobacterales; Enterobacteriaceae. The record is from RNAcentral.